AGUGAACGCUGGCGGUAGGCCUAACACAUGCAAGUCGAACGGCAGCACAGUAAGAGCUUGCUCUUACGGGUGGCGAGUGGCGGACGGGUGAGGAAUACAUCGGAAUCUACUUUUUCGUGGGGGAUAACGUAGGGAAACUUACGCUAAUACCGCAUACGACCUACGGGUGAAAGCAGGGGAUCUUCGGACCUUGCGCGAUUGAAUGAGCCGAUGUCGGAUUAGCUAGUUGGCGGGGUAAAGGCCCACCAAGGCGACGAUCCGUAGCUGGUCUGAGAGGAUGAUCAGCCGCACUGGAACGGAGACGCGGUCCAGACUCCUACGGGAAGCAGCAGUGGGGAAUAUUGGACAAUGGGCGCAAGCCUGAACCAGCCAUACCGCGUGGGUGAAGAAGGCCUUCGGGUUGUAAAGCCCUUUUGUUGGGAAAGAAAAGCAGCAGGUUAAUACCCCGCUGUUCUGACGGUACCCAAAGAAUAAGCACCGGCUAACUUCGUG
Molecule: ribosomal RNA, 492 nt
Filed under: uncultured bacterium
Lineage: Bacteria
Description: partial 16S ribosomal RNA
Rfam family: Bacterial small subunit ribosomal RNA
Source: RNAcentral